RNAcentral lists this ribosomal RNA (368 nucleotides) under uncultured Russula. RNAcentral's name for it is "eukaryotic LSU rRNA". It matches the Rfam family "Eukaryotic large subunit ribosomal RNA", at positions 1 to 358 of the family's 3401-position model. Lineage: Eukaryota; Fungi; Basidiomycota; Agaricomycetes; Russulales; Russulaceae. The record is from RNAcentral.
UUGACCUCAAAUCGGGUGAGACUACCCGCUGAACUUAAGCAUAUCAAUAAGCGGAGGAAAAGAAACUAACAAGGAUUCCCCUAGUAACUGCGAGUGAAGCGGGAAAAGCUCAAAUUUAAAAUCUGGUGGUCUUUGGCCGUCCGAGUUGUAAUUUAGAGAAGCGUCUUCCGCGCUGGACCGUGCACAAGUCUCCUGGAACGGAGCGUCGUAGAGGGUGAGAAUCCCGUCUUUGGCAUGGACACACCAGGGCUUUUGCGAUGCGCUCUCGAAGAGUCGAGUUGUUUGGGAAUGCAGCUCAAAAUGGGUGGUGAACUCCAUCUAAAGCUAAAUAUUGGGCGAGAGACCGAUAGCGAACAAGUACCGUGAGG